Molecule: ribosomal RNA, 223 nt
Filed under: uncultured bacterium
Lineage: Bacteria
Description: partial 16S ribosomal RNA
Rfam family: Bacterial small subunit ribosomal RNA
Source: RNAcentral
GACGUAGGGCGCGAGCGUUGUCCGGAUUUAUUGGGCGUAAAGAGCUCGUAGGCGGUCUGUCGCGUCUGCUGUGAAAACUCAGGGCUUAACCCUGAGCUUGCAGUGGGUACGGGCAGACUAGAGUGCGGUAGGGGAGACUGGAAUUCCUGGUGUAGCGGUGAAAUGCGCAGAUAUCAGGAGGAACACCGGUGGCGAAGGCGGGUCUCUGGGCCGAUACUGACGC